This 465-nucleotide ribosomal RNA is filed under the name Vreelandella stevensii. RNAcentral describes it as "partial 16S ribosomal RNA". It matches the Rfam family "Bacterial small subunit ribosomal RNA", at positions 338 to 795 of the family's 1533-position model. The record is from RNAcentral. Lineage: Bacteria; Pseudomonadati; Pseudomonadota; Gammaproteobacteria; Oceanospirillales; Halomonadaceae.
CCUACGGGUGGCUGCAGUGGGGAAUAUUGGACAAUGGGGGCAACCCUGAUCCAGCCAUGCCGCGUGUGUGAAGAAGGCCCUCGGGUUGUAAAGCACUUUCAGUGAGGAAGAACGCCUGGUGGUUAAUACCCAUCAGGAAAGACAUCACUCACAGAAGAAGCACCGGCUAACUCCGUGCCAGCAGCCGCGGUAAUACGGAGGGUGCGAGCGUUAAUCGGAAUUACUGGGCGUAAAGCGCGCGUAGGUGGCUUGAUAAGCCGGUUGUGAAAGCCCCGGGCUCAACCUGGGAACGGCAUCCGGAACUGUCAAGCUAGAGUGCAGGAGAGGAAGGUAGAAUUCCCGGUGUAGCGGGGAAAUGCGUAGAGAUCGGGAGGAAUACCAGUGGCGAAGGCGGCCUUCUGGACUGACACUGACACUGAGGUGCGAAAGCGUGGGUAGCAAACAGGAUUAGAUACCCUGGUAGUC